CCCACAACCCGAGCUAUCGCUCCCCGUUUCGGCGGGGGGAGGAAAGUCCGGACAGCGCAGAGCAACCCACCGGUUAAGCGCCGGCCUCUCAACGCAGCAAUGCGGGCGGAGAGAGAAAGUGCCACAGAAAAUAACUACUUCUCCCCACAGUAGUGUGGGGAGAAGAAAAGGUGAAAAUGUGAGGUAAAAGCUCACAGUAAAGGCUGGUAACAGCCGUUACGGGUAAACCUUGGGUGCUGUAAUGCCAUGUAUAGGACCGCCUGAGGGCUGCUCGCCCGAGGUCCAGGGUAGGCAGCAUGAUCCUGGCAGUAAUGCCCGGGCCAGAUAAAUGAUAGUUUAGAAACAGAAUCCGGCUUACGAGGUUGUGUUUUUU
Molecule: RNase P RNA, 373 nt
Filed under: Chitinophagaceae bacterium
Lineage: Bacteria; Pseudomonadati; Bacteroidota; Chitinophagia; Chitinophagales; Chitinophagaceae
Description: RNase P RNA component class A
Rfam family: Bacterial RNase P class A
About the family: Ribonuclease P (RNase P) is a ubiquitous endoribonuclease, found in archaea, bacteria and eukarya as well as chloroplasts and mitochondria.
Source: RNAcentral